RNAcentral lists this transfer RNA (60 nucleotides) under Hypsibius dujardini. RNAcentral describes it as "transfer RNA-Leu(UAA)". The record is from RNAcentral. Lineage: Eukaryota; Metazoa; Tardigrada; Eutardigrada; Parachela; Hypsibiidae.
AUAAAUAGGUUAAAAACACUUUUUUUUAAAAAAAAAGUGUUUUUAACACCAAAAUUUAUA